GCCAAGGCAUUGGAGAUGUGGUCGAUCAGUGGGGAUGACGAUUUUGUUAGCCGAUUCCUAAUGGUUUUUGAGAUAUAUAUAAAAAAACAACAAAAAAAAGAAGAAGGGGGAAAAAUAUUCAGUACGGCGGAUUGCAGAUGAACAAGAGUACGAGAAAAGUACAAGAGACGGUGCGAAGGACUGACCUCUAGGAAGUUGACGGCCAUUUUGCCACGGAGG
This 219-nucleotide long non-coding RNA is filed under the name Sorghum bicolor (sorghum). Its description in RNAcentral is "long non-coding RNA (SBIC_LNC012811)". The record is from RNAcentral. Lineage: Eukaryota; Viridiplantae; Streptophyta; Magnoliopsida; Poales; Poaceae.